GGUGAGGUGUCCGAGUGUGUGUAUACGGCAACGUAUCGGGGGUUCGAAUCCCCCCCUCACCGCCA
Molecule: transfer RNA, 65 nt
Filed under: Enterobacter sichuanensis
Lineage: Bacteria; Pseudomonadati; Pseudomonadota; Gammaproteobacteria; Enterobacterales; Enterobacteriaceae
Description: tRNA-OTHER
Rfam family: tRNA
About the family: Transfer RNA (tRNA) molecules are approximately 80 nucleotides in length.
Source: RNAcentral